UCGAGGGGCAGCGGGGUUGUAGCAAUACAACUGCCGGCGACCGGCGCACGGGUGAGUAACACGUAUGUAACCUGCCCUCUGCAGGGGGAUAAGCGGAAGAAAUUCCGUCUAAUACCGCAUAAUACAAUUUGGAGACAUCUCCGGGUUGUCAAAGGAGUGAUCCGGCAGAGGAUGGACAUGCGGCGCAUUAGCUAGUCGGCGGGGUAACGGCCCACCGAGGCUACGAUGCGUAGGGGUUCUGAGAGGAAGGUCCCCCACACUGGUACUGAGACACGGACCAGACUCCUACGGGAGGCAGCAGUGAGGAAUAUUGGCCAAUGGGCGGAAGCCUGAACCAGCCAAGUCGCGUGAGGGAAGACGGUCCUAUGGAUUGUAAACCUCUUUUGCAGGGGAGCAAGGCGCGGUACGUGUACCGCGAA
This 419-nucleotide ribosomal RNA is filed under the name uncultured bacterium. RNAcentral's name for it is "bacterial SSU rRNA". It matches the Rfam family "Bacterial small subunit ribosomal RNA", at positions 62 to 470 of the family's 1533-position model. The record is from RNAcentral.